Molecule: ribosomal RNA, 468 nt
Filed under: uncultured bacterium
Lineage: Bacteria
Description: partial 16S ribosomal RNA
Rfam family: Bacterial small subunit ribosomal RNA
Source: RNAcentral
GACGAACGCUGGCGGCGUGCUUAACACAUGCAAGUCGAACGAAAAGGCCCUGCUUUUGUGGGGUGCUCGAGUGGCGAACGGGUGAGUAACACGUGAGUAACCUGCCCUUGACUUUGGGAUAACUUCAGUAAACUGGGGCUAAUACCGGGUAGGAGCUCCUGCUGCAUGGUGGGGGUUGGAAAGUUUCGGCGGUUGGGGAUGGACUCGCGGCUUAUCAGCUUGUUGGUGGGGUAGUGGCUUACCAAGGCUUUGACGGGUAGCCGGCCUGAGAGGGUGACCGGCCACAUUGGGACUGAGAUACGGCCCAGACUCCUACGGGCGGCAGCAGUGGGGAAUAUUGCAUAAUGGGCGGAAGCCUGACGCAGCAACGCCGCGUGCGGGAUGACGGCCGUCGGGUUGUAAGCCGCUUUCGCCUGUGACGAAGGGUGAGUGACGGUAAUGGGUAAAGAAGCACCGGCUAACUACGUG